This 449-nucleotide ribosomal RNA is filed under the name uncultured bacterium. RNAcentral's name for it is "partial 16S ribosomal RNA". It matches the Rfam family "Bacterial small subunit ribosomal RNA", at positions 29 to 523 of the family's 1533-position model. The record is from RNAcentral.
AACGAACGCUGGCGGCAUGCCUAACACAUGCAAGUCGAACGAAGGCUUCGGCCUUAGUGGCGCACGGGUGCGUAACGCGUGGGAAUCUGCCCUUAGGUUCGGAAUAACAGCUGGAAACGGCUGCUAAUACCGGAUGAUAUCGCGAGAUCAAAGAUUUAUCGCCUGAGGAUGAGCCCGCGUUGGAUUAGGUAGUUGGUGGGGUAAAGGCCUACCAAGCCGACGAUCCAUAGCUGGUCUGAGAGGAUGAUCAGCCACACUGGGACUGAGACACGGCCCAGACUCCUACGGGAGGCAGCAGUGGGGAAUAUUGGACAAUGGGCGCAAGCCUGGUCCAGCAAUGCCGCGUGAGUGAUGAAGGCCCUAGGGUUGUAAAGCUCUUUUACCCGGGAAGAUAAUGACUGUACCGGGAGAAUAAGCCCCGGCUAACUCCGUGCCAGCCGCCGCUGUAA